CAUAUGGCUCCAACCAUUACUAUGAAUAAAAUAACUUACUUACUAUCUUUGAUUUGGAUGCACUGACUUUAACUCUCUACAACUUCUUCAUCCAAAUUCUAAAUUCACCAAAUAAUAUAUGAAAAGUAUAGUCAAAGAAGUGCUCUCUUCAAUCCUAGUCGCCGAUUCUUUAUUGCUCUCCGUAAACAUAUGUUAUGUCUCAAAGAGUGAUAGUAGAAAUGAAAUUAAUACCUUAAAUUUGAGUGCUAAUAAGUUCUUCAUAAAAAUUCCAAAUCACACAAAAUUUGUAUCUUAUCCAUAUCCAAAAACCUAAACUUAUUGCUCCUAGCCUCCAAAGCUCGAAUGACUUCAAAAGAGAAACCCUAAUCUCUAAUACGGCCUCAGAAAGCCUCAUUGAAGCCCAUUGGACAUGGCCUUCGACCAAUAUGAAUAAAGAUCUCCAUUCCAUGCCUUCAUUCAACCAUGCCUUGCUUUCAUCCCUCUCAAUAAGUCUCCUAUUAGUCAAAAAUUUGUUCUUUAGGCUCUAAACUCUUCUCAAAUUUU
This 543-nucleotide long non-coding RNA is filed under the name Physcomitrium patens. RNAcentral's name for it is "long non-coding RNA (PPAT_LNC005530)". Lineage: Eukaryota; Viridiplantae; Streptophyta; Bryopsida; Funariales; Funariaceae. The record is from RNAcentral.